This 425-nucleotide ribosomal RNA is filed under the name uncultured bacterium. RNAcentral describes it as "bacterial SSU rRNA". It matches the Rfam family "Bacterial small subunit ribosomal RNA", at positions 354 to 796 of the family's 1533-position model. The record is from RNAcentral.
GUCGGGAAUUUUGGGCAAUGGGCGAAAGCCUGACCCAGCAACGCCGCGUGAAGGAUGAAGUAUUUCGGUAUGUAAACUUCGAAAGAAUAGGAAGAAUAAAUGACGGUACUAUUUAUAAGGUCCGGCUAACUACGUGCCAGCAGCCGCGGUAAUACGUAGGGACCAAGCGUUGUUCGGAUUUACUGGGCGUAAAGGGCGCGUAGGCGGCUUGUCAAGUCACUUGUGAAAUCUCUGGGCUUAACCCAGAACGGCCAAGUGAAACUGACAUGCUAGAGUGCAGAAGGGGCAAUCGGAAUUCUUGGUGUAGCGGUGAAAUGCGUAGAUAUCAAGAGGAACACCUGAGGUGAAGACGGGUUGCUGGGCUGACACUGACGCUGAGGCGCGAAAGCCAGGGGAGCAAACGGGAUUAGAAACCCUGGUAGUCC